AAUGGUCACAUGAUGAUUUGUGCAUAGUUCAAAUGAUAAUCAUAUCAGAUUGUUGAUUAAAUUAUUAGUUGUCUUUCGCUCCUAUCUGAUGACCUCC
Small nucleolar RNA from Dendrobium catenatum, 97 nucleotides. RefSeq annotates it as small nucleolar RNA snR60/Z15/Z230/Z193/J17. Lineage: Eukaryota; Viridiplantae; Streptophyta; Magnoliopsida; Asparagales; Orchidaceae. The transcript has a single exon. The record is from RefSeq and is a predicted model, not a curated record.